GGUUUCGGGGCGCCCCUGGCUGAGAGUUGCCAGGAGAGAGAUAUAAAGGGAAGUGACGGUUUCGCGGCGGCCUCCGAAGAGACCCAAAUGGCCCUUGAGCAGAAAAGGGGAAGAGUGAAAGAGUGGAGAUGUAUUGCAGGACGAAGGUGAUCUUUGCAGAGAAAUUCUCACUGAGAGGGGGGAAAGCAAAUACAUGCAAACAUGUGGAAACCCAAGCAAAAAGAGUUUCAGAACAGUGAGGAAGUGGGAUAAGCAACGAGGAAGAAAAGGACAGAAUGUGAAAGAACCGUGGGAGACAAAAAGAGGUGCCUGAAAGGAAACAGUAAAAGCGAGGCAGCAGACUUUUCCAACACCAGGAAGGAGGCGCAAAGAUUACUCCGACAGAACGAAGUGCAUUGACGAGCAACAAAUGGAUAGACUUUUUUUAAAGUACUUUAAGGUACAUAACGGCGAGCGCGAGGAAGAUACAAGUGCUUUACCGGGCAUAAAAAAUAUAAGAUCAAAGGAAGGAAAAACGUGAGAUCUGAAGAAGUUGGAACAACCAACUGUGCACGAAAGGGUGAAGAAAUUCAAUAUAAGUCGCCUGGCGCGAAGAGGAAGUUUGGAAGGCAAUGUGCUUGCAGUAAACAGAUGAUGGUGUGUGCUUGUAUCCGCAUGGACUUCAUUCUUCGGUGCAGAAGUUUCAAAAGAGGUAAAUGACAAAUCGAGUGAGUGCACAGAGGAGCCCUGUUGAAGCCUGGAGGACCAGUGGAUUGGAUAAUUAAUGCAAAAUGACUGAUGGCUGUUGAAGAAGGCAAGUCCUGCAAAGAGGAUUGUGCGUGAUCAAUGAAGCAUCACUGACUGACAGUUUCCUUCGAUCUUACACCCAGAUCCAACUACCGGAACGAGGACUUGUCACCAGAGGCCGGAGGCUACUCUCUACAUGCUUGCAAUGCAACGCAAAACACACAAAAAAGGGAAGAGAAAAAGGACGCUUCUUAAAAACAGUCUUGCAAAAAAAACGCAGGAGGGGACGAUAGCAGGUUUCCAAAUUUAAGAAUAGGGAGCACGUGGAUACACAGUGGAAAACAAAAUCCCAAACACGGAUUGUGUGAAAGCGGUUUCUCUACCAUUAUCUUCCCCUGACAAGUGAAUUUCUGCCGCUUGAUUCUUGAUAGCAAGAGUGUGAAUAUGGAGCUCCAACUCUGAACCUGGUUAAGGAUCCGCCACGUAUACUGCGUAAUCGCCCUGCUGCUUAAGUAAGCACAAUGUAAUGGGAGUUUAGUACAAUGUAAACUGCUCCGCCGCGAGCUCUCAAAUCAACUUGAGGGGAUGAGAUGGCCUCUCCAACAAAUUUUGCGCCUAUAAAAAUAUUAAACAAAUUGCUUAGGUUCUAAUCUGGAUUCCUCAGUCAUACAUUCCCAUAGAAAUAUCGACACUGUUAGAACUCGCAGCUUUGCUGCUAAAUUUAGCAACUGAGAGCGUUUACUUUCAGGCGCACGGGGUGUGUUUUAUCACAAAUAUAUCUCGUCAGUAAUCAAAGAAACUGGUCUCCUUAAAAUCAAAAUUCCACUGACAUUUUAGUCCAAUAGUACAAGAUAAUUUUAAGUCAACAAUUUCUAUCGAUUGUCCAUUUACAGGGGAAAAAUCCCUACUAGCUCCAGAUUUAAUUCUUGCUAGCUCGAUAAGUUUUUUUUAGCAUUUUAUUAUAAAUUUUAAUGUUACGUUACUAUGAACAGCAGGCCAAAGGCGGUCGAGCUUACAUUAUUCGAGUAAGCUAUUAGCAUUUUCUUUUGUGGAUAUUGUUGCUUGGGCAGAUUUUUUUUAAUGGAUUUGGCGAUUUCUGAUUAAAUCCAUCACAAUCUUUCAUUUACGGGAGGACUCACGUGCCGCAAAUGUACGCGAGGUGCGGUUAAACCUUCAACUGGAGAUAAAUGUUUUGAGUUUUUCUUUAUGUAUCCACGAGUAAUUAUUUAAACAAUUGUUUAAUUUGUUUUGCAUUUGCGCGACAAACGAGCAGCUUAUUUCUGACAAUAUAUCAGAUUUUCUUUAAAAUAACAUAGACUUUAGUCAAUGCUUUUUGUCGCUUGGCCUUACUUUCUGUUUGAUGUCCAUGGUUAGCGUUGGGGGGUUCCUGUCAGUUUAAUAGUCGCUACUUUUUAAGAAUAAGGGAAAUAAACUUGAGCGUUCACAACAGAAACUUGUCCAAAGGGUUAUGCUUAAACUAAAAGGAUUUUAUGACUUGUCGGAGCUGUUAAUUAUCAAUGUAUUGCAUAGCAAGGUGACGAAAACACAAUCGAUGCUCAAUAUGUGAGAUAGUUAUUAGCAAUCGCUAUCUGCUGAUGAAUUUAUGUAUUGUAGUGAAUUUAAUUACCGAUCUAAAUAAAUGAUAUACACUGCA
Molecule: long non-coding RNA, 2380 nt
Organism: Pristis pectinata (smalltooth sawfish)
Lineage: Eukaryota; Metazoa; Chordata; Chondrichthyes; Rhinopristiformes; Pristidae
Exons: 3
Source: RefSeq, a predicted model, not a curated record